CACUUCCUGAUGUGGGAUCUCCAACUCAGCAAGGAGACAAAUCUUACAAGCCAGAAAUACACUAGACUUCAUGCUAUCUACUGUACUAUUCAUGUAAAGACUAU
Syngnathus acus (greater pipefish) is the source of this 104-nucleotide long non-coding RNA. RefSeq lists it as uncharacterized. The record is from RefSeq and is a predicted model, not a curated record. NCBI's taxonomy places the organism in Eukaryota, Metazoa, Chordata, Actinopteri, Syngnathiformes, Syngnathidae. The transcript is spliced from 3 exons.